AGCAAUAUGCCAUGAACUGAAGGGCUUGCUUAAAAAGGUUUAUUUUUAUAUUUUUGAAAAAAGCUGACAACGGGGUUCCCUGAAUGAAUUUAAAGGCGAGGCAUCGGUUUGAGCCGUGAACUGAACCAUCGACAACUGAAUAUGGACUUAAAAUUGUUAUGUACACAGAGGAAAGAAAAUUGCGCUCUAAAAGUUGCAUAAGGAUCGGACUCUAAGCACCGAAGAAAUUAAGAAUGCAUCUAUAUAUUUAUAGUGUGCGGCAAAGGAAGGAAGACUCAUACAGACUGUUCCACAUUUUGCAGCUAAAAUUUCUGCACUCAGCGCAAAAUGUUUAAUAUCCGGCUUAACCCCUUAAGCGGAGUGUUUAGAGAUAACGACGACGGCCACUGGCAAUGAAAAGAGCCAAACGCAUAAAAUGAAAACACGUAUGGGAAAGUUUUAAA
This is a long non-coding RNA of Drosophila montana, 443 nucleotides long. RefSeq lists it as uncharacterized. The record is from RefSeq and is a predicted model, not a curated record. The transcript has 3 exons. Lineage: Eukaryota; Metazoa; Arthropoda; Insecta; Diptera; Drosophilidae.